RNAcentral lists this long non-coding RNA (2159 nucleotides) under Sus scrofa (pig). RNAcentral's name for it is "lncRNA (ENSSSCG00035075045.1, ENSSSCG00065050221.1)". The record is from RNAcentral. Lineage: Eukaryota; Metazoa; Chordata; Mammalia; Artiodactyla; Suidae.
CACAACAAUCCCAAUGUCAGCAGUGCCACGAGAUGAGACCCUCAGCCUUGAGAAACUGGAAAAGAUGAAGAGAGGAGAAAAUGAGCAGAGGGCACUGCCUGCUUAUGUCCAUGUGCUUCUUUUCCACCUCAGAAACAACACAGCAUCUUUUGUCGUCUUUGAUGCUGCCUCUCCCGUAUUGAUUACGCUUUAUUAUUCCUGAAGACUCGAGUGUGUGACGUAAGUAACCCUAUGUCGGACCCAAGCCCAGUAGGAUAAACGAAAACGGGAGGGCAAAUUGGAACAUGUACCGUAACAACGAGAGCAUUCUUUCUAUGACUUGAAAAAGUCUUCAGAUCCUUGGUUUAAUUUAAUCAGCAAUACGUUCAUCUGCAUAUGGCAUUUAGCAGCAAAGUAAACUUUUUUUCCUGAGUCGUUUGUUUCCAAAUCAGUGGGAACAAAGGAUAUCCCAGUUCCAUUCAAGCAGUUUCAAUGAUUCUCAAACAAACGUGGGAGUCAUAGCUGAGCCAUUUAAAAUAUACAGUGAUGAGAAAGCAUACUUGGUAAUCUUGUCAACAUUCCUUUAAGGAGAAUAUCCAAGUGUCCUUUUACUAUAAUAACGCUUUGUACUUUGAAAUGUUCAGAUGUCAAUAAAAUAGAAUUGAACACAACAGCCUAGAAGAAUGCCGUUUCCAAGUUUUCUAGUAAUGGUGCUGUGAAAACAGUAUGUAUUUUUCAGUUUAACACUCCGAAAAUCAAAUUUCCUCACCCCAAGAUUGGCUCCAUUUACACAAAAGCACUUUGGACCCAUAUUUAACCAACCAUCAAAAGUGAUUCAAAAGAAGGCUAAUUGAACACUGAGGUUUUUGAAGCUCUCAAAUGAUGACCCAGGUUUUUUCUUGAAAACACUCACAGCGGCAGCUUGGCAGGAAGCAGGAAUGAAACCUGCCCUCCAAACUGGAAGAAAAACUUCCAAUAACAAACUGCGAGGUUUGAGAUCACUGCAUGUUAUAUUAUUCAUUAUUCAAAUGGCCUCUAGCCCUAUUACACAGCCUUUUCUCUGGCGUCUGAGCUGCCCCAAGAAAUGUACUUUAGUAAGACCGAGCCCCCCUUUCAGAGGAAAGGAGAACCUCCUUAUCUCCGCGUUCUGCCUCCCUGUCUCUGCGUUCUAUCUGUUCUAUCUCUGUUCCAUCUGCGUGUUUUGCAAUCUCCUCAGUGUUCCAAAGGCCAAUGAAAUCUCUCUCCCACAGGGGCCAGCGAUGGCAGACCUCAACCAAAUAAAAGUUAUGCAAAGGCAAGCUGGAAAAUCUGCACAGGGGAGAUUUCACCAAGAGGAGAGGGGCCUGAUAUUUUCCGUCUAAAUCCUUAGGCCUCACUCCAGCCUACAAAGACAAGUGGCAGGAAACUUAACAGCGAUAAUCAAAUGAGCUCAGCCAGCCUCGGGAUGGUUCUUGUAAGAACUGUGUGUGUGGAGAAGGGAUGCAGGCUUUCUGCCCAGGAGAACCUAGAGAGAAAAAACUGCUCUUCCCAAAAUCCCUGAAGUCUGCUGCCAGGGGCUCAGUACAUGCCUGACCAAAAAGAGAAAACUGCCCACCUAACCGGUUCGGCUGUUUCCUGGCUACUACGGACAGAAGCAGACAGAACCUUAUCAUUUCAGUUAUGUCUAACUUGGACAUUAUUUUCAAGUAAAUAUUGGUAAUUUCAAGGCUCUUUCCUUGCCGUGUGACCUGGCGUGACGGACAAUGCUGUCUCCGAGGAAGCUGACUCCAUAGCAACAAGCCAGGGAAGCCUGCACCUUCCACCCAGGGGGCCUCCCACGAGCAUUUUGGAGACUCGGGACGUUGCAGUUAUCUUGUCAGGGGGUGGCUGAGGGAAGAAGCUUCUUCCUUUGCCCUCUGGGCCCCUCCCAGCGGUCUGGGUUUCUGUGGAUCACGCUGUGCUUCUCAAUGAAUCCAGCGCUGGGCAUUUUUCUCUUUUCAUUCAGGAAGUGGUGAGCUGAGCCCUGAGAUUCUUUCUGCUCCGAUGAUAUAAACAAAUUGUAGAGGAAGUCAAGUCAAAUUUUCCCUUGCUGGUUUUGUUCUCCCAACUAGCAAUUCAGAAAACAGAGCCAACUUUUUUUUUUUUUUUUUGGAUGCCUUUUAAAGAUUGCUGUUAACUGGAAAGACAAGAAACCCUUGUAG